RNAcentral lists this non-coding RNA (30 nucleotides) under Rattus norvegicus (Norway rat). Lineage: Eukaryota; Metazoa; Chordata; Mammalia; Rodentia; Muridae. The record is from RNAcentral.
UGGCAAUGCAGAAAACGUCAGGGCAAGUUG